This is a small nucleolar RNA of Neoarius graeffei (lesser salmon catfish), 142 nucleotides long. RefSeq annotates it as small nucleolar RNA SNORA48. The record is from RefSeq and is a predicted model, not a curated record. NCBI's taxonomy places the organism in Eukaryota, Metazoa, Chordata, Actinopteri, Siluriformes, Ariidae. The transcript has a single exon.
UACCCUUAUCAACUGGGCAAGGCAGUGUCUGCUUAUGGCACAUGGUCCUAUAUCUGGUAAGGGAAGAGCAAAUGCAGUCCAUGUUCAUCCCAGUCUACUCAGUACCGUGAGCGUAAGACUGUUUCAUGCUAUGGACACAGAA